Molecule: ribosomal RNA, 1046 nt
Filed under: uncultured eukaryote
Lineage: Eukaryota
Description: SSU rRNA
Rfam family: Eukaryotic small subunit ribosomal RNA
Source: RNAcentral
UUCCAGCUCCAAUAGCGUAUAUUUAAGUUGUUGCAGUUAAAAAGCUCGUAGUUGGAUUUCGGGCGGGUUUCGUCGGUCCGCCUCUGGUGUGCACUGCCGAAGCUCGCCUUUCUGUCGAGGACGGGCUCCUGGGCUUCAUUGCUCGGGACUCGGGCUCGACGAGGUUACUUUGAGUAAAUUAGAGUGUUCAAAGCAGGCGAUCGCCCUGAAUACAUUAGCAUGGAAUAGCAUGAUAGGACUCUGGCCUAUCUUGCUGGUCUGUAGGACCGGAGUAAUGAUUAAGAGGGACAGUCGGGGGCAUUCGUAUUUCAUUGUCAGAGGUGAAAUUCUUGGAUUUAUGAAAGACGAACUUCUGCGAAAGCAUUUGCCAAGGAUGUUUUCAUUGAUCAAGAACGAAAGUUGGGGGCUCGAAGACGAUUAGAUACCGUCGUAGUCUCAACCAUAAACGAUGCCGACCAGGGAUUGGCGGGUGUUCUUUUAAUGACCCCGCCAGCACCUUGAGAGAAAUCAGAGUCUUUGGGUUCCGGGGGGAGUAUGGUCGCAAGGCUGAAACUUAAAGGAAUUGACGGAAGGGCACCACCAGGCGUGGAGCCUGCGGCCUAAUUUGACUCAACACGGGAAAACUUACCAGGUCCAGACACGAGGAUGAUUAACAGAUUGAGAGCUCUUUUUUGAUUUUGUGGGUGGUGGUGCAUGGCCGUUCUUAGUUGGUGGGUUGCCUUGUCAGGUUGAUUCCGGUAACGAACGAGACCUCAGCCUGCUAAAUAGUCACGUUUCCUUUCUGGAUACGCUUGACUUCUUAGAGGGACUAUUGUCGUUUAGGCAAUGGAAGUGUGAGGCAAUAACAGGUCUGUGAUGCCCUUAGAUGUUCUGGGCCGCACGCGCGCUACACUGAUGCAUUCAACGAGCCUAUCCUUGGCCGAGAGGCCUGGGUAAUCUUUGAAACUGCAUCGUGAUGGGGAUAGAUUAUUGCAAUUAUUAGUCUUCAACGAGGAAUGCCUAGUAAGCGCGAGUCAUCAGCUCGCGUUGAUUACGUCCCUGCCCUU